RNAcentral lists this transfer RNA (60 nucleotides) under Ixodes scapularis (black-legged tick). It matches the Rfam family "tRNA", at positions 7 to 64 of the family's 71-position model. From Rfam's summary of the family: Transfer RNA (tRNA) molecules are approximately 80 nucleotides in length. The record is from Rfam by way of RNAcentral. Lineage: Eukaryota; Metazoa; Arthropoda; Arachnida; Ixodida; Ixodidae.
AUAGCUUAGUCGGCAAAGCACUUGGCUCACAAUCUUGAGGUCGCGAGUUCAAAUCCUGCU